GACAUCGGAUCAGUGUGAGAGGUUAUGUGAAAUCAUACGAUAUAUCUAUGUCACAUGAGCUCACUUUUAUGUGAAAGUUUAUCUGCCUAUUGUAUAUGAUGAGAUGUGCAUAUUCGAUAAAGGGAUGGUAUGCCCGAAGGAAGAGUGAAAUAAAAAUACGAACAACUAUGUUAUAAUUUGAUCGUUAUCUAUUGACACUGCUUAAAACUUACUAAGCAUUGUAAUGCUUACUCUGUUUACUCUGUUUCCUCUGUUUUAUAGAUCUCAUUUGGAAGCUACAGGCUCGGGGAUCAUCAGCAACUAGUCACACUAUCACUAUCCAUUGUUUGGUACUGCUACGUUUUGGAUUAUCUUAUGGCAUGUAUGGAAUAGACUAGUGGCG
RNAcentral lists this long non-coding RNA (382 nucleotides) under Gossypium barbadense (sea-island cotton). Its description in RNAcentral is "long non-coding RNA (GBAR_LNC010612)". The record is from RNAcentral. Lineage: Eukaryota; Viridiplantae; Streptophyta; Magnoliopsida; Malvales; Malvaceae.